CAAUGAUUAAAUGUAAUCUGAUGUACAGGAAACAAAGAGGCAAGAAGCAGCCAACAUGGAGGAUCUUUUCCUUGAAGUAACUGCAUGCAACGAACAACUUCAAUUAUGACAACAAAUUUGGGGAAAGGAGGAUUUGAAAGUGUUUAUUGUUUUGGGAUGGAUCACAAUCUUUAUAAGAGAUCAACCACUCAGAUACAAAAGAGAAGACGGCAAAUCAGAUUGUGUGUGUUUUGGAAAAGCAAAAAAUAUUCUCUGCACACACUCACAAAAAAAACUUGGCUGACCAAAACAGAAUUAGCAGGAGGCUACCUGAAACUAAUCAAUUUACAUCUAGAAGAACAAUGGGCCACACUCUGAUUCGUGAAAUCAAAGCAUUUCAAUUGAAUUUCAAGUUAAGAGCUUAAAAAUAAUAAACUCUGAUUAUGGAGGCCAAAGAAGAUAAAAGGAGCGAAGCGCAAUAGAACGGCUUUGAGGCUGAGUUUAUUUGAGGAUCUUCACUUACAGAGGUUGCUCUCUAGGAAAUGAGAGGAGACAAAACAAAGAGAGAGAGAGGAGAACAGGGAAUAAGGAAAAGAAGCAGAAGAUCAGAGGCGGAAAGUUGUUACUCAAAACAAAACAGUAAUUCCCGCAGCAAAGCGCGGGCAAAUAUUACUAGUGUAUAUAAACCUAGAAACUGCCAAACGGCCCAAACUCACCUCUGAGCUACCAGAAACUAGGGUUAGGGUUUUCCCUGCUCACACUUACAGACACGCCAAGUCGGAAACUAGGGUAAGAGAAGAUUAGCUGGGUUCAACACAGCUGGAUCGGAUCUCAACGAAGACCGCAGUGUAUCAUCCAUUUAUUUACUAAAUAUGAAACUCAUGGGGAUCAGAACUUAUCAGCUGAAAGGACCUAUUAUUUUGUUGCAGCAGUCUCCACAAGCAUUAAGUAGCAUACUUAUCUACCUUCCAUCAAAGUAAUGGAUACAUUAUUUACUGAAGCUGUAUUUGAACUUCUAUCAGGAGCAUUUUGAAAGGUUCCAUUUUCCCAGACCCCACUGCUCCAGUAUACUUCAUCUCGCC
Rosa chinensis is the source of this 1061-nucleotide long non-coding RNA. RefSeq lists it as uncharacterized. The record is from RefSeq and is a predicted model, not a curated record. The transcript has 8 exons. NCBI's taxonomy places the organism in Eukaryota, Viridiplantae, Streptophyta, Magnoliopsida, Rosales, Rosaceae.